RNAcentral lists this ribosomal RNA (257 nucleotides) under uncultured bacterium. RNAcentral describes it as "partial 16S ribosomal RNA". It matches the Rfam family "Bacterial small subunit ribosomal RNA", at positions 524 to 777 of the family's 1533-position model. The record is from RNAcentral.
UACGUAGGCAGCAAGCGUUGUUCGGAAUUACUGGGCGUAAAGCGUGCGCAGGCGGUUCGUUGUGUCGGCGGUGAAAGCCCCGGGCUUAACCUGGGAACGGCCGUUGAAACUGGCGAACUGGAGUGUGGCAGAGGGGGUGGAAUUCCGGCGGUGGUAGCAGUGAAAUGCGUAGAGAAUGCGGAGGAACACCGAUGGCGAAGGCAGCCCCUGGGCUGAACACAUGACGCCUCGAGGCACGAAGCGUGGGAGCAACAGGA